Molecule: ribosomal RNA, 254 nt
Filed under: uncultured bacterium
Lineage: Bacteria
Description: partial 16S ribosomal RNA
Rfam family: Bacterial small subunit ribosomal RNA
Source: RNAcentral
UACGUAGGGUGCGAGCGUUAAUCGGAAUUACUGGGCGUAAAGGGUGCGCAGGCGGUCUCGUAAGCUGGGUGUGAAAGCCCCGGGCUUAACCUGGGAAUGGCAUUCAGGACUGCGAGGCUUCGAGUGCGGCAGAGGGAGGUGGAAUUCCACGUGUAGCAGUGAAAUGCGUAGAGAUGUGGAGGAAUACCGAUGGCGAAGGCAGCCCCCUGGGAUAACACUGACGCUCAUGUACGAAAGCGUGGGUAGCAAACAGG